This is a small nucleolar RNA of Lathyrus oleraceus (garden pea), 107 nucleotides long. Lineage: Eukaryota; Viridiplantae; Streptophyta; Magnoliopsida; Fabales; Fabaceae. The record is from RefSeq and is a predicted model, not a curated record.
AUGCCAUGGUGGGGACAUUGUCUAAGAAGCUCCUUGAAUCUCUCUUAAGCAUCAAAUAAGGACCCAUCCUCUCCUUGCCUAAACGAGGUUAUUUCAUUUCUAAUUUU